GCAUUUUGAUUCAACGUUUCGACUUUAUUUAGUCAUCAUCAGGAAUCCCGAUGAAUUUAUUUAGUCAUCAUCAGGAUUCCUGAUGAUGACUAAAUAAAGUCGAAACGU
This 108-nucleotide microRNA precursor is filed under the name Paramuricea clavata. The record is from RNAcentral. Lineage: Eukaryota; Metazoa; Cnidaria; Anthozoa; Malacalcyonacea; Plexauridae.